CAGCAACGGAUCUCUUGGCUCUCGCAUCGAUGAAGAACGCAGCGAAAUGCGAUAAGUAAUGUGAAUUGCAGAAUUCAGUGAAUCAUCGAAUCUUUGAACGCACCUUGCGCUCCUUGGUAUUCCGAGGAGCAUGCCUGUUUGAGUGUCAUGUAAUCCU
RNAcentral lists this ribosomal RNA (157 nucleotides) under Hyphoderma prosopidis. RNAcentral's name for it is "5.8S ribosomal RNA". It matches the Rfam family "5.8S ribosomal RNA". From Rfam's summary of the family: 5.8S ribosomal RNA (5.8S rRNA) is a component of the large subunit of the eukaryotic ribosome. It is transcribed by RNA polymerase I as part of the 45S precursor that also contains 18S and 28S rRNA. Lineage: Eukaryota; Fungi; Basidiomycota; Agaricomycetes; Polyporales; Hyphodermataceae. The record is from RNAcentral.